UACGUAGGGGGCAAGCGUUGUCCGGAAUUAUUGGGCGUAAAGAGCUCGUAGGCGGUGUGUCGCGUCGGCCGUGAAAACCUGGGGCUCAACUCUGGGCGUGCGGUCGAUACGGGCAUCACUUGAGUUCGGCAGGGGAGACUGGAAUUCCUGGUGUAGCGGUCAAAUGCGCAGAUAUCAGGAGGAACACCGGUGGCGAAGGCGGGUCUCUGGGCCGAUACUGACGCUGAGGAGCGAAAGCAUGGGUAGCGAACAGG
RNAcentral lists this ribosomal RNA (254 nucleotides) under uncultured bacterium. RNAcentral's name for it is "partial 16S ribosomal RNA". It matches the Rfam family "Bacterial small subunit ribosomal RNA", at positions 524 to 776 of the family's 1533-position model. The record is from RNAcentral.